Molecule: long non-coding RNA, 323 nt
Organism: Nymphalis io (European peacock)
Lineage: Eukaryota; Metazoa; Arthropoda; Insecta; Lepidoptera; Nymphalidae
Exons: 3
Source: RefSeq, a predicted model, not a curated record
UUUAAGUACUUAAACAACACACACGUACGGGUGCUUAUACGGAUUUGAGCUCAGAGCUUAAUCCACACGCCGCUCAGUUGUGGAUUGAAUACGAGUCAGAUGUACAGCUCCUCCAAUUCAUAGGUAUUUCGAUAGAAACUGUACACGAACAAAAUUAAAAGUUGACGUCGAAAAAAAUGGAGAAACAAGAGCCGGCGGAAGCGAGUUCAUUAUGGAGAUAUUUGCUAACAAGUGUUCGAUUGAACUGAUUAUAGUGUUAUAAUAUUAAUUGAAUUGGAAUAAAAAAGCAACAACUAAGCGUCCUGUCGGUUCUCACCAUUAGA